This 67-nucleotide transfer RNA is filed under the name Marmota monax (woodchuck). RNAcentral's name for it is "tRNA.Thr". The record is from RNAcentral. Lineage: Eukaryota; Metazoa; Chordata; Mammalia; Rodentia; Sciuridae.
GGUUGUGGCUCAGUGGUAUAGUACUUACCUGGUAUGUGGGGGGCACUGGGUUCAAUCCUCAGCACCA